Molecule: ribosomal RNA, 81 nt
Filed under: Corymbia aparrerinja
Lineage: Eukaryota; Viridiplantae; Streptophyta; Magnoliopsida; Myrtales; Myrtaceae
Also listed under: 2 other names
Description: partial 26S ribosomal RNA
Rfam family: Eukaryotic large subunit ribosomal RNA
Source: RNAcentral
GCGACCCCAGGUCAAGCGGGGCUACCCGCUGAGUUUAAGCAUAUCAAUAAGCGGAGGAAAAGAAACUAACAAGGAUUCCCU